GCGCCAGUAGCCGAAUUGGUAUAGGCAAAAGACUGUCAUUCUUUCGGGCGAAAGCCUCUGCGAGUUCGAAUCUCGCCUGGCGCACCC
This 87-nucleotide transfer RNA is filed under the name Actinomycetota bacterium. RNAcentral describes it as "Actinobacteria bacterium (freshwater metagenome) tRNA-Asp". It matches the Rfam family "tRNA". Rfam says of the family: Transfer RNA (tRNA) molecules are approximately 80 nucleotides in length. Lineage: Bacteria; Bacillati; Actinomycetota. The record is from RNAcentral.